Molecule: non-coding RNA, 565 nt
Organism: Labrus bergylta (ballan wrasse)
Lineage: Eukaryota; Metazoa; Chordata; Actinopteri; Labriformes; Labridae
Source: RefSeq, a predicted model, not a curated record
GUGUUUCAACCUAGUUUUGUUCCAUUAUGUGAUGGGAGUACGAGUUUGACCUACAAAGCAGGUGAUUUUGGAUGAGACGUUCACAGUGGCUUUGGCAGUCGCUGUAGAUGGAAUCUUCACUGGCAGAGGUGGAGGUGUUGACGAUCAUGUUCUCUCUCCUGGUUUUCGCCCUCUUCACACUCACUGGGAUGCUCAACGAGGACAGUGCACCCUCCAAUGGUAAAACUGGAAUCACGCACCAAAAUGAUACAGAGACAACAACGGCAGCUCAGGGAGUUGAAGAGAUCGUCUGACCACAGACGUCAUUGACAGAUGAUUAAGAAUGAAAAACUUCUAGCCAACCUCGUCCUUCCUGUUCUGUGGCAUAUGAGGACGUGGCAGCCAGAGCUUCGUAUUCAAUUGUGAUCAGUUACUAGAACAAAGUCUGAACAGUGACCUCUGAACGGGUGUGUGUGUGUGUACUUAGUUAUAGGAUCCGGUGCUAUUUUACCUCCAGGAUGAAGCAGGAGGAGUGGCUCUGAUGGCACAGUGUCAGAAAAAUCAAAUAAACAAACGCCUGCCUCAA